UUUGUAAGCUGUCUGCCUCACAUUGUGAACCACAGUAAUGUGAAUAGCCCACCACAACAUUGGGACUGGUUUGCAUUAGUCAGGCUUUUACAUUAAUAUAUACAGUCCCCCUACAAUUAUACAUUUUAAAGAGGCAGAUAUGAAAGCACCUCGUGUGCCUGUCGAUAAUUGUUGCCCCCCUCACGUCAUCACGUCUGAAGUUCACCUUCAGGACAUCGACGUAAUGCGCAUUCCAGUUAACAAAACAGACGGCCGUAGUGCAUUUUCCACUUACCUUCGACGCUAAAAUAAGAGAUGUUCAAAACUCAAAACUCGAAGGUCCGAGCUGGAAACUUAAACAGUUUGUUUUUUAACAAAGUCGUUGACCAGGAAGCAUUUUGUAGCCGAUGUCUGGAUGAGUUUGUACCCCUCCUCUCUCUCACAUCUGGUCCCCAAACUGCACGCCAAAGAUCUUUGGUUGCUCAGUUGAGAGCUGGUAUUCUUCUUCUGGCCAUUGAGGUUGGUUGAUUCAAAAAUAUUCCAGAGGAAAACAGACUGGGUGAGCUGUGAUUCUGGCGAAGCGGAAAGAUCUUGCUGGAAACUGCUGUAUGAUGGAGCGCUGUGGGCCUGGGAUUGGUGAGGCAGGGCUGCACCAGGCCUGUGCUGACGUUCUGUGUUUACAGGUCCUGGCAGUACCGCUGGAGGAACCAGUGCAGAGCCGGACUCCCUCUCUUCUAUCGGUGACCCAGUUCCCACACUGACCAUGAACAAUACUCCUUGGGAGGAUCCAACAGAUGCACCGCAACAUGUGUUGACAGGAAGGGAUGGCAGAGGUUCAACAAGAGGGAGACCGGGGGUGGGGGGGGGGUUCUGUGUCCAGACUCUUGACAAUCACGUCUAAAACCCCCAAUGGGCAGCAUUCAGGUCCAUCAUCGUUAAAUAACACAGGCAGAUGACAAGAUCAGUAAAUUUGGUGAAGCUUUUUAGCCGUCUCUUGAGAUGUGCUGUUUUUUUUCAUACUGACACAGCAGGGGUUUUGGACCGUCUGAAAGGGAGAGUCCUAAAUAAACUCUGUGAGCUUACACAACA
Long non-coding RNA from Thunnus maccoyii (southern bluefin tuna), 1068 nucleotides. RefSeq lists it as uncharacterized. The record is from RefSeq and is a predicted model, not a curated record. NCBI's taxonomy places the organism in Eukaryota, Metazoa, Chordata, Actinopteri, Scombriformes, Scombridae. The transcript is spliced from 4 exons.